Molecule: ribosomal RNA, 1287 nt
Filed under: metagenome
Description: bacterial SSU rRNA
Rfam family: Bacterial small subunit ribosomal RNA
Source: RNAcentral
UAGCUAGUUGGUGAGGUAAAGGCUUACCAAGGCGACGAUCUGUAGCGGGUCUGAGAGGAUGAUCCGCCACACUGGAACUGAGACACGGUCCAGACUCCUACGGGAGGCAGCAGUGGGGAAUUUUGGACAAUGGGGGCAACCCUGAUCCAGCCAUGCCGCGUGAGUGAAGAAGGCCUUCGGGUUGUAAAGCUCUUUCGGCCGGGAAGAAAUCGCAUGGGCCAAUACCCUGUGUGGAUGACGGUACCGGAAUAAGAAGCACCGGCUAACUACGUGCCAGCAGCCGCGGUAAUACGUAGGGUGCGAGCGCUAAUCGGAAUUACUGGGCGUAAAGCGUGCGCAGGCGGUUUUGUAAGACAGGCGUGAAAUCCCCGGGCUUAACCUGGGAACUGCGUUUGUGACUGCAAGGCUAGAGUACGGCAGAGGGGGGUGGAAUUCCACGUGUAGCAGUGAAAUGCGUAGAGAUGUGGAGGAACACCAAUGGCGAAGGCAGCCCCCUGGGUCGAUACUGACGCUCAUGCACGAAAGCGUGGGUAGCAAACAGGAUUAGAUACCCUGGUAGUCCACGCCCUAAACUAUGUCAACUAGGUGUUGGGUGGGUAAAACCAUUUAGUACCGUAGCUAACGCGUGAAGUUGACCGCCUGGGGAGUACGGCCGCAAGGUCAAAACUCAAAGGAAUUGACGGGGACCCGCACAAGCGGUGGAUGAUGUGGAUUAAUUCGAUGCAACGCGAAAAACCUUACCUACCCUUGACAUGCCAGGAACUUGCCAGAGAUGGCUUGGUGCCCGAAAGGGAGCCUGGACACAGGUGCUGCAUGGCUGUCGUCAGCUCGUGUCGUGAGAUGUUGGGUUAAGUCCCGCAACGAGCGCAACCCUUGUCGUUAAUUGCCAUCAUUUAGUUGGGCACUUUAACGAGACUGCCGGUGACAAACCGGAGGAAGGUGGGGAUGACGUCAAGUCCUCAUGGCCCUUAUGGGUAGGGCUUCACACGUCAUACAAUGGUCGGUACAAAGGGUUGCCAAGCCGCGAGGCGGAGCCAAUCCCAGAAAGCCGAUCGUAGUCCGGAUUGCAGGCUGCAACUCGCCUGCAUGAAGUCGGAAUCGCUAGUAAUCGUGGAUCAGCAUGUCACGGUGAAUACGUUCCCGGGUCUUGUACACACCGCCCGUCACACCAUGGGAGCGGGUUCCGCCGGAAGUAGGUAGCCUAACCGCAAGGGGGGCGCUUACCACGGCGGGGUUCGUGACUGGGGUGAAGUCGAAACAAGGUAGCCGUAGGGGAACCUGCGGCUG